UAUUUUUUUACUUUUCUAAACCGCAGAAAUAACGGUAAGGCUAAACAAACCUUAUUAGCAUCCGAAAUGGAUGUUUCUUCAUCGUUGUCAAUGCGAAGGCGAAGAUGCAAAUGACGAGUCAUCAUCCACAUCGCGGGUUGUUGUCUUUGCUUCCGGUGCUGCUGCCCCUUCUUCUUCUGAUUGGAUGAUCAGAUAUUUCUGGUGGAAAAAGAUUUCGGGCUUCUUCCAAACCAGAGAAAUUGGUGGAGUUUCGCAAAUUUACCCUGAACAUCUGCUGUUGGCUGGGAAAGCUAUAGGCUCUAGAUAAUCUGUGCUCAACGUCUGCUUAAAAAUAAAAUGGACUUAUGAUAUUCAUGGAACACAUGAUACAACAUCAAGUCAUACGUAGGACUCAACAAACUGGGGAAGCCAUGAUGCUGGAUUCUCGGUGAUGCUCCUGGUUGCCAUGGCUCUUGCUGUGCUCAUCAUGGGUUUGCUUUUUGACAAGGCUGGCAUUGUGAUGUUCUUGGAGACCGGUUUCCUCAGUGGGUUUCUGGAUUUGCAACGAUGCCAUGAUGGUUGAAGCAAAAGGGUAUUUCUAGUGUGAGCCUUGUUAGUUUCCUGUUAUUAGAAAUCAAUAUGGAAACAUAGACUUAUAGAAGUGAGUGAGUGGGAUUCCUUCAAUUAUAUAUCACCCUUUGAAUCUGCUUUUGGAGAAUGGGCAAAUAGCAUCUUUACUAGAGAAGAUUAUAAUGCUUUGUUAUCCGAAUUAUUAAGCGAAGAAUAAAUGCAACAUUUUUUUCCUCUACCAA
Manihot esculenta (cassava) is the source of this 791-nucleotide RNA transcript. RefSeq lists it as uncharacterized. The record is from RefSeq and is a predicted model, not a curated record. NCBI's taxonomy places the organism in Eukaryota, Viridiplantae, Streptophyta, Magnoliopsida, Malpighiales, Euphorbiaceae. The transcript has 4 exons.